CGUAAAGAGCUCGUAGGUGGUUUGUCGCGUUGUUCGUGAAAUCUCACGGCUUAACUGUGAGCGUGCGGGCGAUACGGGCAGACUUGAGUACUGCAGGGGAGACUGGAAUUCCUGGUGUAGCGGUGGAAUGCGCAGAUAUCAGGAGGAACACCGGUGGCGAAGGCGGGUCUCUGGGCAGUAACUGACGCUGAGGAGCGAAAGCGUGGGGAGCGAACAGGAUUAGAUACCCUGGUAGUCCACGCCGUAAACGGUGGGUACUAGGUGUGGGUUUCCUUCCUUGGGAUCCGUGCCGUAGCUAACGCAUUAAGUACCCCGCCUGGGGAGUACGGCCGCAAGGCUAAAACUCAAAGAAAUUGACGGGGGCCCGCACAAGUGGCGGAGCAUGUGGAUUAAUUCGAUGCAACGCGAAGAACCUUACCUGGGUUUGACAUGCACAGGACGCCGGCAGAGAUGUCGGUUCCCUUGUGGCCUGUGUGCAGGUGGUGCAUGGCUGUCGCCAGCUCGUGUCGUGAGAUGUUGGGUUAAGUCCCGCAACGAGCGCAACCCACGUCCUUAGUUGCCAUCAUUCAGUUGGGCACUCUAGGGAGACUGCCGGUGAUAAGCCGCGAGGAAGGUGUGGAUGACGUCAAGUCCUCAUGGCCCUUACGGGAUGGGCUACACACGUGCUACAAUGGCGGUGACAGUGGGACGCGAAACCGCGAGGUUGAGCAAAUCCCCAAAAGCCGUCUCAGUUCGGAUUGCACUCUGCAACUCGGGUGCAUGAAGGCGGA
RNAcentral lists this ribosomal RNA (770 nucleotides) under uncultured Mycobacterium sp. RNAcentral describes it as "bacterial SSU rRNA". It matches the Rfam family "Bacterial small subunit ribosomal RNA", at positions 559 to 1330 of the family's 1533-position model. The record is from RNAcentral. Lineage: Bacteria; Bacillati; Actinomycetota; Actinomycetes; Mycobacteriales; Mycobacteriaceae.